Hippocampus zosterae (dwarf seahorse) is the source of this 167-nucleotide long non-coding RNA. RefSeq lists it as uncharacterized. The transcript has 2 exons. Lineage: Eukaryota; Metazoa; Chordata; Actinopteri; Syngnathiformes; Syngnathidae. The record is from RefSeq and is a predicted model, not a curated record.
AAUAAAUAAUUUUACACUCAAAUAUAAGACCCGUGAGUCUCUCACCAAAGUCGCAGAUCAAGCACACGAAGAGACAAAUGGGCUGGAAGAUCAAUCCGCAUUUAUCUGGUUUUGUUUUAAUGUUUUUGAUCCAGUUGUAACAUGAACAUGCAGAUAAACUGAACAGG